UUUUGUUAUGGAAAACAUUAUUCCUCAAUUGAAUUCCUAUACUAGCCUACUCUGACUCUGUCUGAGCCUCAUAAUUCAUGUCUUUACUCAAAGGAGACCCUGCUGGAGUGUCUUAGGAAUAAUUUUAAAAAGGAAAGGUCUCCUUUGAUAAACUUGACGACGGUGCAGGAGAUGAAGAGAAAGUUUGGUGUCAGAAGACAAAGAAUUGUGGACCAUGUGCCUCUGGAGGACCCACCUGGACAUCAGAGAGCAAAAAAGUGCAGAGUGGGGGUACAGAUGUCUUCUGAUUAUGAGCCAACACAAGAGAUUAUGUUGGACCUUGAAGCAGUUGGGGAGGACUACCACAGCUUUCAAGAGCAUAUAAACGCCAUAAACAAUUAGUUGUGCCGUCGUCAGCCAGAUAUUAGUCAUAUAAUGGACAGGAUGAGGCAAACUGUCUAUAAGAGGGUAGAGCAAAUGGGAAAGCCAACUGAGGAGGUGAUGGAGAUGUUCCCAUUUCUUUGGGUGUCAGAGCU
Molecule: long non-coding RNA, 515 nt
Organism: Alosa sapidissima (American shad)
Lineage: Eukaryota; Metazoa; Chordata; Actinopteri; Clupeiformes; Clupeidae
Exons: 3
Source: RefSeq, a predicted model, not a curated record